Molecule: ribosomal RNA, 254 nt
Filed under: uncultured bacterium
Lineage: Bacteria
Description: partial 16S ribosomal RNA
Rfam family: Bacterial small subunit ribosomal RNA
Source: RNAcentral
UACGUAGGGACCAAGCGUUGUUCGGAUUUACUGGGCGUAAAGGGCGCGUAGGCGGCCACCGCAAGUCGACUGUGAAAUCUCCGGGCUUAACCCGGAACGGUCAGCCGAUACUGCGGGGCUAGAGUGCAGAAGGGGCAACUGGAAUUCUCGGUGUAGCGGUGAAAUGCGUAGAUAUCGAGAGGAACACCUGCGGCGAAGGCGGGUUGCUGGGCUGACACUGACGCUGAUGUGCGAAAGCUAGGGGAGCGAACGGG